RNAcentral lists this ribosomal RNA (398 nucleotides) under uncultured bacterium. Its description in RNAcentral is "partial 16S ribosomal RNA". It matches the Rfam family "Bacterial small subunit ribosomal RNA", at positions 360 to 775 of the family's 1533-position model. The record is from RNAcentral.
AAUCUUUCGCAAUGGGCGAAAGCCUGACGCAGCCAUGCCGCGUGAGUGAUGAAGGNCUNNGGAUUNUNAAAUUCUUUCACCGGNNNNNAUAAUGACGGUACUCGGAGAAGAAGCCCCGGCUAACUUCGUGCCAGCAGCCGCGGUAAUACGAAGGGGGCUAGCGUUGCUCGGAAUUACUGAGCGGAAAGGGCGCGUAGGCGGACAUUUAAGUCAGGGGAGAAAUCCCAGAGCUCAACUAUGGAUCUGACUUUGAUACUGGGUGUCUUGAGUGUGAGAGAGGUAUGUGGAACUCCGAGUGUAGAGGUGAAAUUCGUAGAUAUUCGGAAGAACACCAGUGGCGAAGGCGACAUACUGGCUCAUUACUGACGCUGAGGCGCGAAAGCGUGGGGAGCAAACAG